AAGUCGUAACAAGGUCUCCGUUGGUGAACCAGCGGAGGGAUCAUUACCGAGUUUACAACUCCCAAACCCAUGUGAACAUACCUACUGUUGCUUCGGCGGGAUUGCCCCGGGCGCCUCGUGCGCCCCGGAUCAGGCGCCCGCCUAGGAAACUUAACUCUUGUUUUAUUUUGGAAUCUUCUGAGUAGUUUUUACAAAUAAAUAAAAACUUUCAACAACGGAUCUCUUGGUUCUGGCAUCGAUGAAGAACGCAGCGAAAUGCGAUAAGUAAUGUGGAUUGCAGAAUUCAGUGAAUCAUCGAAUCUUUGAACGCACAUUGCGCCCGCCAGUAUUCUGGCGGGCAUGCCUGUCUGAGCGUCAUUUCAACCCUCAUGCCCCUAGGGCGUGGUGUUGGGGAUCGGCCAAAGCCCGCGAGGGACGGCCGGCCCCUAAAUCUAGUGGCGGACCCGUCGUGGCCUCCUCUGCGAAGUAGUAAUAUUCCGCAUCGGACAGCGACGAGCCCCUGCCGUUAAACCCCCAACUUUCUAAGGUUGACCUCAGAUCAGGUAGGAAUACCCGCUGAACUUA
Molecule: ribosomal RNA, 564 nt
Filed under: uncultured fungus
Lineage: Eukaryota; Fungi
Description: eukaryotic LSU rRNA
Rfam family: 5.8S ribosomal RNA (bases 204-357)
Source: RNAcentral